Molecule: ribosomal RNA, 505 nt
Filed under: uncultured Glomus
Lineage: Eukaryota; Fungi; Glomeromycota; Glomeromycetes; Glomerales; Glomeraceae
Description: SSU rRNA
Rfam family: Eukaryotic small subunit ribosomal RNA
Source: RNAcentral
AGCAGCCGCGGUAAUUCCAGCUCCAAUAGCGUAUAUUAAAGUUGUUGCAGUUAAAAAGCUCGUAGUUGAAUUUCGGGAUCAAUAUGUUGGUCGUGCCUUGGUACGUACUGGCAUUAUCGAUUCCUACCUUCUGAAGAACCUCGAUGUCAUUAAUUUGGUGUCUUGGGGAAUCAGGACUGUUACUUUAGAAAAAUUAGAGUGUUUAAAGCAGGCCCGCGCUUGAAUACAUUAGCAUGGAAUAAUGAAAUAGGACGUUUGAUUCUAUUUUGUUGGUUUCUAGGAUCGACGUAAUGAUUAAUAGGGAUAGUUGGGGGCAUUAGUAUUCAAUUGUCAGAGGUGAAAUUCUUGGAUUUAUUGAAGACUAACUACUGCGAAAGCAUUUGCCAAGGAUGUUUUCAUUAAUCAAGAACGAAAGUUAGGGGAUCGAAGACGAUCAGAUACCGUCGUAGUCUUAACCAUAAACUAUGCCGACUAGGGAUCGGAUGAUGUUAAUUUUUUAAUGACU